Long non-coding RNA from Bombyx mori (domestic silkworm), 1063 nucleotides. RefSeq lists it as uncharacterized. The record is from RefSeq and is a predicted model, not a curated record. Lineage: Eukaryota; Metazoa; Arthropoda; Insecta; Lepidoptera; Bombycidae. The transcript is spliced from 2 exons.
GAAAUUAAUUAAAUCGCAGAUUCGGAACUAGUAUUGUAUGAUUGGUAAGAACGAAACGUAUGAAAAGAGUCUGGAAUGGAGCGUUAAGAUGUGAGUGAGAGAAAACGGAAAGAAAGGGAGAAGAGAAUGACAGACAGAAUGACAGAGAAAAGGAAGAUGGCGAAGACGGUUAAAAAAUGAGCAAGGUGUAAUAAAAGUGUUAAUUAAUUUUUAAUUAUUAUAACAGAAGAUUUUGGAACAGUUUAACUUUUAUUCUAUGCGCUGCGAUCCCUAAUUCUACAGUAUUAAUUACGUUUUACAUUCUUAAUGGGUUUUGUUUUAAUUAUUUGUGGUCCCUGAGUUGACUGUAUUUUGUUACGUGAUAGAUCAUUUAGUCUUCGGUCAGUGUGAUGUGUCAUCGGUAUUCUAAUGAAUCUCAUAAAUCUUGUGUUGAAAGAGUUGUGUUCUUGAGGAAUUGGGAUUGUGAUUGGGACCACGAAUUGGCAUUUGCAACUCGUAAAGUGAUUAGAAGAGAGUGGAAAAUUUGAAGAGUCCUAUAUCCACCAGUGACGGUUUAAAUUAUCAUUGGUAGUAAGCACGGAAUAGAUAAAUAAGGUUGGAAUGGUAAUGUAGGCGGGGCAAGCGUGCCACUGUUAUGAUAGAACAAACAUAACUCGACCGAUUCUUUCAUUCACCGCGUUUAGUGCGCUUCGGACUACUUGGCGAACAGAUCUCCGCUUUAUAGUGCCGUGUUGUGCAAUUAUAACUUGUAAAACAAAAAAUCAGACCUCAAGUAUAGAGCGAGGAGGUAUAUCUUUCGAUCGGUUUCCUAAAGAACCUAACGCCAGGGAACAAUGGAUUGACGUGACAGGUAGAGGAAACUGGAGACAAAGACGAGUACUAUUUGCUCUAAACAUUUUACUGAAAAUGAUUUUAUCAUAAAAAAAAUCAGAAUACACUUAGUUUUGAAAAAUUCAUUCGCAAUUAAUAGCAAGCGCCAACUGCUUAACAAAUACGUUUUAUUCCAGCGACAGUGACUAUUUGUAAUUAAUAAAAGUAAAAUAGUUUUUUUUUUCAAUAUUUA